UUCGGGGUGAGUGGCAGACGGGUGAGUAACGCGUGGGAACGUGCCCUUCAGUUCGGAAUAACCCAGGGAAACUUGGGCUAAUACCGGAUACGUGCGAGAGCAGAAAGAUUUAUCGCUGAAGGAUCGGCCCGCGUCUGAUUAGCUGGUUGGUGGGGUAAUGGCCCACCAAGGCGACGAUCAGUAGCUGGUCUGAGAGGAUGAUCAGCCACAUUGGGACUGAGACACGGCCCAAACUCCUACGGGAGGCAGCAGUGGGGAAUAUUGGACAAUGGGCGCAAGCCUGAUCCAGCCAUGCCGCGUGAGUGAUGAAGGCCUUAGGGUUGUAAAGCUCUUUCGUCCGGGACGAUAAUGACGGUACCGGAAGAAGAAGCCCCGGCUAACUUCGUGCCAGCAGCCGCGGUAAUACGAAGGGGGCUAGCGUUGUUCGGAAUCACUGGGCGUAAAGGGCGCGUAGGCGGCUUUGUAAGUCGGGGGUGAAAGCCUGUGGCUCAACCACAGAAUUGCCUUCGAUACUGCAUGGCUUGAGACCGGAAGAGGUUAGUGGAACUGCGAGUGUAGAGGUGAAAUUCGUAGAUAUUCGCAAGAACACCAGUGGCGAAGGCGGCUGACUGGUCCGGAUCUGACGCUGAGGCGCGAAAGCGUGGGGAGCAAACAGGAUUAGAUACCCUGGUAGUCCACGCCGUAAACGAUGAAUGCCAGCCGUUGGCGAGCUUGCUCGUCAGUGGCGCAGCU
This 732-nucleotide ribosomal RNA is filed under the name Microvirga sp. RNAcentral describes it as "bacterial SSU rRNA". It matches the Rfam family "Bacterial small subunit ribosomal RNA", at positions 85 to 853 of the family's 1533-position model. Lineage: Bacteria; Pseudomonadati; Pseudomonadota; Alphaproteobacteria; Hyphomicrobiales; Methylobacteriaceae. The record is from RNAcentral.